CCUACGGGGGGCAGCAGUGGGGAAUAUUGCGCAAUGGGGGAAACCCUGACGCAGCAACGCCGCGUGAGUGAGGAAGGACUUCGGUCUGUAAAGCUCUGUUAAUGAGGAAAUGGUACUCAUAGAGGAAGCACCGGCUAACUUCGUGCCAGCAGCCGCGGUAAUACGAAGGGUGCAAGCGUUGUUCGGAUUUAUUGGGCGUAAAGCGCGCGUAGGCGGACCUGCAAGUAAGAUGUGAAAUCUCGAGGCUCAACCUCGAAACUGCGUCUUAAACUACAGGUCUAGAAUCUCGGAGGGGGAAGGGGAAUUUCGCAUGUAGGGGUAAAAUCCGUAGAUAUGCGAAGGAACACCAGAGGCGAAGGCGCCUUCCUGGACGAGAUUGACGCUGAGGCGCGAAAGCGUGGGGAUCAAACAGGAUUAGAUACCCUUGUAGUC
This 432-nucleotide ribosomal RNA is filed under the name uncultured bacterium. RNAcentral's name for it is "partial 16S ribosomal RNA". It matches the Rfam family "Bacterial small subunit ribosomal RNA", at positions 338 to 795 of the family's 1533-position model. The record is from RNAcentral.